GAUGAAGAACGUAGCGAAAUGCGAUAAGUAAUGCGAAUUGCAGAAUUCAGUGAAUCAUCGAAUCUUUGAACGCACAUUGUGCCCGCUAGUAUUCUGGCGGGCAUGCCUGUCUGAGCGUCAUUUCAACCCUCGCCCCCGGCUUUUGCUGGGAGCGGUGUUGGGGAUCGGCCGCCCGUCACUGGGAGGCCGGCCCCGAAAUAGAGUGGCGACCACGCCGUGUGCUCCUCUGCGUAGUAGUAAAUCACCUCGCAGGCGGACAGCGGUGCGGCCUGCCGUAAAACCCCCAACUCUUUCUGGUUGACCUCAGAUCAGGUAGGAAUACCCGCUGAACUUAAGCAUAUCAAUAAGCGGAGGA
RNAcentral lists this unclassified non-coding RNA (355 nucleotides) under soil metagenome. Its description in RNAcentral is "partial contains 5.8S ribosomal RNA, internal transcribed spacer 2, and large subunit ribosomal RNA". The stretch from base 1 to 120 matches the Rfam family "5.8S ribosomal RNA", at positions 35 to 154 of the family's 154-position model. The record is from RNAcentral.